Molecule: ribosomal RNA, 275 nt
Filed under: uncultured prokaryote
Description: partial 16S ribosomal RNA
Rfam family: Bacterial small subunit ribosomal RNA
Source: RNAcentral
UACGGAGGAUCCAAGCGCUAUCCGGAUUUAUUGGGUUUAAAGGGUGCGCAGGCGGGAAAUUAAGUCGGCGGUGAAAUUUUGCGGCUCAACCGUAAAAGUGCCUUCGAUACUGGUUUUCUUGAGUGUAGAUGAAGUAGGCGGAAUUUGUGGUGUAGCGGUGAAAUGCAUAGAUAUCACGAGGAACUCCGAUUGCGCAGGCAGCUUACUAAACUACUACUGACGCUCAGGCACGAAGGCGUGGGGAUCAAACAGGAUUAGAUACCCCGGUAGUCCCU